CAAUAGCGUAUAUUUAAGUUGUUGCAGUUAAAAAGCUCGUAGUUGGAUUUCGGUUAAGAGCGACCGGUCCGCCGUUUGGUGUGCACUGGUUGGUUUUAACUUCCUGUAGAGGACGUGCUCUGGGUUUAACGACCUGGACUCGGAGUCUACGUGGUUACUUUGAAAAAAUUAGAGUGUUCAAAGCGGGCUUACGCUUGAAUAUUUCAGCAUGGAAUAACACUAUAGGACUCCUGUCCUAUUUCGUUGGUCUCGGGACGGGAGUAAUGAUUAAGAGGAACAGUUGGGGGCAUUCGUAUUCCAUUGUCAGAGGUGAAAUUCUUGGAUUUAUGAAAGACGAACUUCUGCGAAAGCAUUUGCCAAGGAUGUUUUCAUUAA
RNAcentral lists this ribosomal RNA (375 nucleotides) under uncultured eukaryote. RNAcentral describes it as "partial 18S ribosomal RNA". It matches the Rfam family "Eukaryotic small subunit ribosomal RNA", at positions 592 to 976 of the family's 1831-position model. The record is from RNAcentral.